AUGGACGCACCAGCUCCAGAUUGGUCCGGGCUACCAGCGGAUAUAUUGAUCAGCAUAUUCCAAUUGCUGGACUGCCCAGACCUCCUCCGAUCCGCCGCCGUCUGCACAUUAUGGCAAAAGGCAUACUCCACGAUCCGCCGCAACGGUGGCUGCCCCAGCCGCCAGACCCCCUGUUUACUCUACUGUACCGAGGUCGCCGGUGCCAAGGCUCUUGGCAUGUACAGUCUCUCCGAACUGAAGGCCUACACCAUGCCCCUCCCUGAACCUCCCAUCAACUACUGGAUUGGCUCGUCACACGGAUGGCUUGUCACCAUGGAUGAAAAGUCUGAUCUGAUGCUGCUCAACCCUAUCACCGGUGACAAGAUUGCACUCCCUCCCGCGACAACCAUGGAGCAUGUUAAACCUGUCCUAAACAGCGACGGGGUUCUUGAAAAGUGCAAAUGCAUUGUCAUGCUCAUCCAUCAGCCCUACAUGCAGCUCUCGUUUGCCAGAGUGGGAGAUGCUCGCUGGAGUUGGCUCCAAAUGCAUAGUUUCUAUGCAGAUUGCAUACACCAUGAUGGCUCUUUCUAUGCAGUGACUGACCUAGGUGCAGUCGAUGUGUUCAAUCUAGACGGAUCAUCUGUCAUCCAUAGAAGAAUUUUGCCAGAUAUGGCUGAGAUAGUCCAGAAGUGCUACAUUGUCCAGGCACCAUGCGGAGAUGUCUUCCAAAUCUAUAAGGAACGGGACCGGGAUCCUGAACGACCAGAUGGUGAGACGUAUGCCACUGCUUUCGAAGUGUACAAGAUUGAUUUUGUUGAGUUGAGGCGUGUUAAGAUGACAGGUGACUAUGCAUUGUUUACUGGGAGGAGCACAACAUCUUGCUUUAGCGUGAAGGAUCAUCUAGGCUUGAUGUCAAACCAUGUAUAUUUUACUCAUGAUGAUUACGAAGAUUUAUUAGACGGCAAAGAUGACCCCCGUGACAUAGGAGUGUACAACUUGGAAAAUAAUACCAGAACCAAAUUGGCUAAUCCUGAACCCUGGAGUACGUGGUUCCCUCCCAUAUGGUUGAAACCCAAUCUUGCAAAAGCAGGUAUAUUUCAUUUUCAAACAGCACUUUUCCUCAUUUUAAUUUUGUUGUUUUGA
RNAcentral lists this ribosomal RNA (1122 nucleotides) under Triticum aestivum (bread wheat). RNAcentral describes it as "partial small subunit ribosomal RNA". Lineage: Eukaryota; Viridiplantae; Streptophyta; Magnoliopsida; Poales; Poaceae. The record is from RNAcentral.